Long non-coding RNA from Octopus bimaculoides (California two-spot octopus), 819 nucleotides. Lineage: Eukaryota; Metazoa; Mollusca; Cephalopoda; Octopoda; Octopodidae. The record is from RefSeq and is a predicted model, not a curated record.
AACAUCUGGAUAUCUAGUCAAAAGAUGAUGUGAUUUUUUUUUUUUUAAUAUCAUGAUUUAAUCUUCAAAUAAUUGUCAAAAUGACUACAAUUAUAAAACACAGAAGUAUUGAGAUUCUAAAGACAAAAUAAAGAAAAACUGGAAUUGAAAAUUCAAAAGGUGCACAGUGGAUGAUAUCUUCAACAAUACAUCUAAGGAAGCAAGAAGCAGAGUAAUUCUUUCACCAAAGAACUCAGACUGCCUCCUGAUCAAUGAAGAAGUUUUGAGACAACUUCCAGGUGACUGCUACACCUAUUAUAGUUCAGGUAAAGUUUUGACAAAUGAUCCUACUGAGACUGAGUGCUAUCCACUUGAAUUUCUAAACUCUUUUACACCAUCAGGAAUCCCUCCUUGUUAAUUGAGUUUAAAACCUGGCUCAAUAGUAAUGCUUCUUCAUAAUAUUUCUAUCCAGAAUGGAAUCUGCAAUGGUACAAGACUGGAAGUGGUGGCCAUGCAUCAACACUAAAUCGAGGCUUACUUGAUUGGCAGCUCACUAAUUGGCAAAUGAGUCCUCAUCCCCAGAAUAAAGCUGGCUCCAAGCGACCCUAACUUGCCAUUCACCUUAGAGAGAACCCAGUUCCCUGUCCGUUUGUCAUAUGCCAUGACUAUUAACAAACUUUUACUAAUAUAUUCCUUUAACAUUUCUCUUUCAUAUUAAUAUUAAUAUAAUAAUUCUUAAUUAAAAUUAAGAGAAUGAUGUGGAUUCAAAGUGUCAAUGUUCAGCAUUACUACCCGUCAGUCAACCAGUUUUGCCGAUACAUUUUUUCUCUUAACUUUUGU